GUUUGAUUAUGGCUCAGGAUGAACGCUGGCGGCAUGCCUAAUACAUGCAAGUCGAACGGAGUGAAGCCUUCGGGUUUCAUUCAGUGGCGAACGGGUGAGUAAUACGCAGGGAACCUGGCCAUGGCAGGGGGAUACACUCUGGAAACGGAGCAUAAGACCCCAUAGGCAGUAAGGCGGCAUCGCCUUACUGUUAAAGAAAGCUGAAAGGCUUUGGCGAUGGAUGGACCUGCGGUGCAUUAGCUUGUUGGUGAGGCAACGGCUUACCAAGGCGAUGAUGCAUAGCCGGCCUGAGAGGGCGGACGGCCACACUGGGACUGAGACACGGCCCAGACUCCUGCGGGAGGCAGCAGUAGGGAAUUUUCGUCAAUGGGCGCAAGCCUGAACGAGCAAUGCCGCGUGAGUGAGGAAGGUCUUCGGACUGUAAAGCUCUGUUGCCGGGGAAAGAGGGGAAAUGCAGGAAAUGGCAUUUCAUGGAUGGUACCCGGCCAGAAAGCCACGGCUAACUACGUGCCAGCAGCCGCGGUAAUACGUAGGUGGCGAGCGUUAUCCGGAAUGAUUGGGCGUAAAGGGUGCGCAGGCGGUCUGUUAAGUCUGAAGGCAAAGGGAUGAGCUCAACUCAUUUAUGAUUCAGAAACUGGCAGACUUGAGGACAGGAGAGGGCGGUGGAACUCCAUGUGUAGCGGUAAAAUGCGCAGAGAUAUGGAAGAACACCAGUGGCGAAGGCGGCCGCCUGGCCUGUGACUGACGCUGAGGCACGAAAGCGUGGGGAGCAAAUAGGAUUAGAUACCCUAGUAGUCCACGCCGUAAACGAUGAGGAGCAGGUGUUGGGAGUGAAAUCUCAGUGCCGAAGCCAACGCAGUGACUCCUCCGCCUGGGGAGUAUGCACGCAAGUGUGAAACUCAAAGGAAUUGACGGGGGCCCGCACAAGCGGUGGAGUAUGUGGUUUAAUUCGAAGCAACGCGAAGAACCUUACCAGGUUUUGACAUCGGAUGCGAAGGCGCAGAGAUGCGCUGGAGGCUAUCAUCCAGACAGGUGGUGCAUGGUUGUCGUCAGCUCGUGUCGUGAGAUGUUCAGUUAAGUCUGGCAACGAGCGCAACCCCCGUGGUAUGUUACUAGCGCUUUAGGGCGAGGACUCAUAUCAGACUGCCGGUGACAAACCGGAGGAAGGCGGGGAUGACGUCAAAUCAUCAUGCCCCUUAUGACCUGGGCUACACACGUACUACAAUGGCGUCUACAGAGGGAAGCGACCCUGAGAAGGGAAGCGAAACCGGAAAAGGGCGUCCCAGUUCGGAUUGAAGUCUGCAACCCGACUUCAUGAAGAUGGAAUCGCUAGUAAUCGCGGAUCAGCAUGCCGCGGUGAAUACGUUCCCGGGCCUUGUACACACCGCCCGUCAAACCAUGGAAGCCGGCAACGCCCGAAGCCGGUGGCAUAACCUUUUAGGAGUGAGCCGUCGAAGGCGGGGCCGAUGACUGGGGUUAAGUCGUAAAAAGGUACCC
Molecule: ribosomal RNA, 1497 nt
Filed under: uncultured bacterium
Lineage: Bacteria
Description: 16S ribosomal RNA
Rfam family: Bacterial small subunit ribosomal RNA
Source: RNAcentral